Phodopus roborovskii (desert hamster) is the source of this 149-nucleotide small nucleolar RNA. RefSeq annotates it as small nucleolar RNA SNORA48. The record is from RefSeq and is a predicted model, not a curated record. NCBI's taxonomy places the organism in Eukaryota, Metazoa, Chordata, Mammalia, Rodentia, Cricetidae. The transcript has a single exon.
AUCCCCUGGCAAUAGGCAGAGACACCUUAUUGGUGGUGGUGUUCUUAUUUCUAUCAGUCAGGGGCAGAACAGAUGGUAGCCCUUUGUUCAUCCUAGCUUGAUGCCUGGCUUGGUGGCCAAAGCUGCUGUUUCAUGCCUAGGGCAUUUUU